Molecule: ribosomal RNA, 434 nt
Filed under: uncultured Clostridium sp.
Lineage: Bacteria; Bacillati; Bacillota; Clostridia; Eubacteriales; Clostridiaceae
Description: partial 16S ribosomal RNA
Rfam family: Bacterial small subunit ribosomal RNA
Source: RNAcentral
ACGGGAGGCAGCAGUGGGGAAUAUUGGGCAAUGGGCGAAAGCCUGACCCAGCAACGCCGCGUGAGGGAAGAAGGUCUUCGGAUUGUAAACCUUUGUCUUAUGGGACGAUAAUGACGGUAGCUAAAGAGGAAGCCACGGCUAACUACGUGCCAGCAGCCGCGGUAAUACGUAGGUGGCAAGCGUUGUCCGGAUUUACUGGGUGUAAAGGGUGCGCAGGCGGGACUGCAAGUUGGAUGUGAAAUACCGGAGCUUAACUCCGGAACUGCAUCCAAAACUGUAGUUCUUGAGUGGAGUAGAGGUAAGCGGAAUUCCGAGUGUAGCGGUGAAAUGCGUAGAUAUUCGGAGGAACACCAGUGGCGAAGGCGGCUUACUGGGCUCUAACUGACGCUGAGGCACGAAAGUGUGGGUAGCAAACAGGAUUAGAUACCCUGGUA